GCGCGGUCCCGGCCGCGGAGGCCUAGGGGAGCCCGGCGAGCUCGGCCCCGAUCUUCACUAGGCCUGCCCGGCCGGGUCCGC
Molecule: unclassified non-coding RNA, 81 nt
Filed under: Macacine alphaherpesvirus 2
Lineage: Duplodnaviria; Heunggongvirae; Peploviricota; Herviviricetes; Herpesvirales; Orthoherpesviridae
Source: RNAcentral